GAUGAAGAACGUAGCGAAAUGCGAUAAGUAGUGUGAAUUGCAGAAUUCAGUGAAUCAUCGAAUCUUUGAACGCACAUUGCGCCCCAUGGUAUUCCGUGGGGCAUGCCUGUUCGAGCGUCAUUUACCCCCUCAAGCUCCGCUUGGUGUUGGGCGUCUGUCCCGCUUCGCGCGCGGACUCGCCCCAAAGGUAUUGGCAGCGGUCGUGCCAGCUUCUCGCGCAGCACAUUGCGCUUCUCGAGGCACCGGUGGGCCCGCGUCCAUCAAGCUCACCCCCCCAGUUUGACCUCGGAUCAGGUAGGGAUACCCGCUGAACUUAAGCAUAUCAAUAAGCGGUGGA
Molecule: unclassified non-coding RNA, 337 nt
Filed under: soil metagenome
Description: partial contains 5.8S ribosomal RNA, internal transcribed spacer 2, and large subunit ribosomal RNA
Rfam family: 5.8S ribosomal RNA (bases 1-120)
Source: RNAcentral